GUCAGCCUGCCUGAACCUCAACCGAAGAAGCACUUCAGCAGGGAAGCAUGUAAACAUAAAUAUUCGGACUUUUUUUUUUUUAGCAAAAAGUACUGUGACAGAUUGUCAGCAACACCAGCAGGUGAAGAUUCAGGUUCCAAGGCACGGAUGAUGAAGGAGGAAGGUUGAGUGCAGUGUUAUCAGCUCAGCCCCUGGGAAAUUUUGCAGAUGCUACGUACGCCAACCGAAAAAGGCUGCACUCACAAGGACCUUUCACCAACCCCCAUCUUGGAGGCACACGUGCGGUCGUUAUGACGAGAGUGUCUCAAACCCACGGGGGUAGGGUUUCCCUGAAGGAACACCAGGAAAGCCACCACUCUUUAACAUCGUCAGAAACGGCUUCCGCUUAGCAACCUGGAAUGUACUGACUUUGAACGAACCUGGUCACCCUCAGCUCAUCCCCAACAAUUCUCCUGGCUCACAGUUUCUGGGCAACAGGAAGUCAGAUGGCCAGAGGAUGGCGAGGCAUUAGUGUGUCACAACAAGAUCAUGUGGAGCGGUAACAUCUGCCUCCGCACACAGGGUGUGGCUAUUGUGAUCCACAUACACCACGAAAACUCCAUCACCACUUGGAAGCCAUUAGGUCCACUGAUUUUUUCCCAGCCUAGCCCCCUAGCAUCAUUGCAGACGACCGAACCAAGAACACAUUAUAUGCACAGCUGCAUUACAAGCUACGCCACAUCUGCUGCCACAAAAUCAUCAUCGUUCUGGGGGACAUGAAUGCCACAUUGGGCCGCAACAGAAGUGAACCAGAACACAUAAUUGAUCUUUUUCAAUCAAACCUCACCAACGACAAUGGCGAACGCGUGCUUAAUGUCUGCGCUGCCCACAGCUUAAAAAUUCUAGACACUUGGUUCCAACACCGCCAGAUCCACCGUACUACCUGGUACUGUAAUACAGGCACAACAUCCAUGGUCAUAGAAUAUAUUAUGAUCAGUGGGUGCUGGAAAGCUGCUACAUCUUGCCGUGUAUGCCACAAUGCGUAACUAGGACAAACUGACCAUUGUCUCCUCGCAGCCACUCUGAAUCUUCAUUUCCGCCAUAACACACGUUGGGUCAGUGCUCAACACUGUUCCAUAGACACAGACUAUGAUAAGCUUUUCAGCCCAGAGUACAAACAUCUCUUCUCAAUAAAAGUUACAAAUCAUUUUGUCGUUCUCGGCCACAGAGAGAACCUUACAUAUGUAUGGGAGAAUAUCAGCACCACGCUCACCUCAAUAACUGCAAACGUCCUCGCCGUUUGACGCUGGAGGACUCAACCUUGGGUAUCUUUGACUUCUCUUGUUCUUGUUGAUCAAUGUCGAAAGGCGAGACUUGUGGGGAAUGAAGAAUACCGCUGUCUAAAUCGGGAGAGAAGGCAAGGUCUACUCUCUCCUGUUCCAUUGGACAAGCUGAAGCUGUUUGCUGAUUCUGGCAUUGAAGGUUGCCAUGUCAAUCAAGACCCGCCAUCAAUCACCGAACUGUCAGAUGUCAUCAAGGAGCUUCCAUCUGGGAGAGCCUCAGGUGCAGACUGAGUCACAGCAGAUAUGAUGAGAGCUGAACUCAGCACUGUCACCCACCAGCUUCAACAUCGACAAUCAUUGGUACUUUAACUUUUACUUUGCCAAAUCAUUAGUUCCUCCAAACUGUAGAAACUGAGUCAUACUUUCUCUCUACAAGAACAAGGGUGACCAUUGAAACAAAGCCAUCUACCUGCCCAUUACACUUUUCUUUGUCCCAGACAAGGAUUACUGAGACGUAUUCACCCUCUCGUGCUCACCAAACGGCAUCUACUGCCGGCUGGCUUCACUCCACAUCGGUCAACAGCAGAUUUCAUUCUGGCUGUAAACAUCUUUGCCCAACAGAGGAAGAAAUAUUUCCAACCUCCUAAUGCAGCCUGCGUUGAUGUGAAGUCGGCCUUUGACUCCCUGGACAAAAACGUCCACUGGCAACUUUUGUGAAGUACCAGAGUUCCAAGGAAUCGUCAUGCAAACACCACCUGUGGCGUAAAAGUAGAGGGUGGCAUGUCAGAUCCUUUUGUUGCCACCACUGGAGCCGACAGGGAUGCGUUGUGGCUUCGAAGCACUUCAAUAUCGCUGUUGACUAGUGAAUCCAAAGCACACUGCACCGCUGCCCCAGUAUUGGAGUCAACUUCUACUUCUACGCUAAUGAUGUUGUGUUGUUCUCCACACACCUGGAUCACCAAAGCAUUUUCAGUAUGAGCGGAAGAAACCUUACUUCUGGGCCAUACCAAUAGCUGGGCAGAGACAAAAAUGUAAUCACUGUCAGACUUAAUCCCGGCCACAACACAGGUCAUUACCAUCCAGAACCAGCAGGUCGAAUACUAUGUUUAUCUUGGAUCCAAAAUUGACAGAUCUUGCUGGUCAGAUACUGAAGUUGCACGUUGUUCGCAACAGACUUACGGUGCUUUCGGUCGCCUCCAAAGAGGCUGGCGCAGAUAAAAAUGUCAACAAAGAUGCACAUCUUCAAUUUCUGCAUGGUGCCAGUGGUCCUGUACGGAUCUGAAUCUUGGACUGUUUCCGCAGAGACUACUCGCCGCCUUGAUGCUUCUCACAGGAACUGGCUCCGUAACAUCCUCCAUAUUCAGUGGUUCCACCAUAACACAAACAAUGCAGGUUACAAAAAAGCAGAUUUUCGUACUGCUAUUGCCACCUUAAUAAAAAGAGGAGGGCUGUGAUUUCUCACCCAUGUAGCAAGAAUUACAGUCAAACAGGCUCUCAUUGCGUGCACAUGCCCACCACCACCCAGGGGGUCUAUGUGGCCUUCUUCGGCUUACUUGGACGUCCCAGAUGACAUUAACCAAGCUCCUGUUGGAUCUUAUCGCCCUCGCCAAGCACCACCAUGCCUUUAGACGACUAGCUGCCACGGUCACUUAGUGGCCAAACGAGGCUUCUUCUCUUUUACUUUUUUCACCACAUAAGGUAUACCUUCAUCUUCAAGAGAUUUUACAGAAAAAUAAUUAGAAUUCUGCCUUUAUACAGCCCAUAACGCACAGUCUUAACAGCAAGAAGCUAUAAAAUGAACAACAUUGCACCGGUCGCCCACGGAGCAGAUUAUGACGUGUGUUGUCAUGCAUCACACCUAAAUCAGAAUACUUUAAUUUGACAUGCACAGCAUAUAUAGUAAAUAGGAAUAGAAGAAGCAGCAGUGACUUCCGCUUUGUGCAUUUCAGCCUGUCCGACAUCACGUUAUUUAUUUAUCCAUUUUUCCAUCUGUUCGAUACUUUUGUUUUACCUCUCUUUUAGAAUUGGAGCUGUUUCUGUGUCUUGCAUGUUGUGAUUGGUAUGGGUUGCUGUAGUCGCAAACGUGACAUCAUCACGACGCGUCUUCAUGUUUCGUGCCUGAAGCAAGCUGUUAGCACUUAGAGUAGCUGUAAAGCAGUAAAUAAAACAGCGUGUUGAAACAACAA
Nerophis ophidion (straightnose pipefish) is the source of this 3448-nucleotide long non-coding RNA. RefSeq lists it as uncharacterized. The record is from RefSeq and is a predicted model, not a curated record. NCBI's taxonomy places the organism in Eukaryota, Metazoa, Chordata, Actinopteri, Syngnathiformes, Syngnathidae. The transcript has 2 exons.